AAUGACGAGAGCGGUGACGGCGCAGCACCGCAGGCCUCGUGCCGCCGGUCUCUGAAGCGGGAUGAGCAUGGUCAGAGCAUCGAACGGCUG
This 90-nucleotide small RNA is filed under the name Sinorhizobium meliloti 2011. RNAcentral describes it as "putative ncRNA". Lineage: Bacteria; Pseudomonadati; Pseudomonadota; Alphaproteobacteria; Hyphomicrobiales; Rhizobiaceae. The record is from RNAcentral.